Eriocheir sinensis (Chinese mitten crab) is the source of this 620-nucleotide long non-coding RNA. RefSeq lists it as uncharacterized. The transcript has 4 exons. The record is from RefSeq and is a predicted model, not a curated record. NCBI's taxonomy places the organism in Eukaryota, Metazoa, Arthropoda, Malacostraca, Decapoda, Varunidae.
ACGAUCCUCUGAGCUCAGUACUCUAGGAAAACUCACUUACAAUCCCAUAAAACCCCCAAAUUUGAUAUGAAUACGGAACAUGAGACGAGCACAAAGGAAUACCAAGUUAGUUCAAAUACGAAUUUCCGACGCAUGCGCAGACGAGGCCUUCCGUCAGUCCUCUGCCAGACCUUGACGGGUGAGGAGCUCCGCCAGGCCGCCUCUCCCCCCUGCCCUGCCUCCUCUCCUCCCGCUGGGUACCGUGGCACCACCAGGCCUUGAAGAUGAACUUAAAUCCGCAGUUCCAGCAGAUCGGAGAGACCUUUGUCAAGCAGUACUACCUGAUCUUUGACGGCGAGAGAGAGGGGCGGGAAAAACUGGUCAACUUCUAUCACGCUGACUCAGCAAGGAAGUGACCAAUGGUAGCCCAGGAGCUACAUCCAACAUUUUAAAGACAAUUGGCUUGACACUUGCUGCUGAAAUAUAGAUGUAGGCAGAACUAUCGUUAAUGUCCUUUGAGGGAGUCCAGGUCCAAGGAGCAGCUGCAAUCCUAGAUAAAAUUAAGACUUUGAGUUUUAACAAAAUCGCACGAGCCAUCACGACUGUGGACUGCCAGCCCACGUUUGACGGCGGCGUCUUGG